AGCUCACCCCGAGACGAACAAACUAAAAAAAGUUAAAUUUGAUCUAAAAAUUUAAGGAUGCCGUGUUCAAGCAAACUUGAGCGCAGUUUUGUCCUUUCGGUUUUAGAGUCUGUAUUCUGUUUCCUAAUUCGAAACUAGGUUUUUGUCUGUACGGUGCGGUAACCAGAGUGAAAUCCGGGUUAAUGUACAGGACUCAGAAUAUUUCCGUUGACAUUACAGAUUUAAUAGUGUAUAUAGUUGUUCCCACGAGAAUUAUUUAAAUAGAUUUAUGUUUUCUAGGUAUUGUAGGUUACUUACACGACACUUUCCGUCAUAGAAACGUCACUUGUACGGAUGCUGAGCUGCAUUCACGUGACUGAGCGUGAGUUGUUGUUUGAAUGGGAAACAAAUUGUUUAGGCGAAAACUGAUGUUGGUCACCUGUAGCCGCGGAAAUAUUUUGAUUCUUACGCGUUACUGUUUAUUUCGAUAAUGUUUGACAGUUUGCGAGAUCGGUUUCAUACAGUCCAGGAGGGGAUCACUGCCAGUUUCAGAGGUUUGUCAACAUCCGAUUCUGUUCACAAACAUAUUCCUGCUAGAGGUCGUAAAGUGAACUACAAUGCAGGAGGCGAACUUUUACUGAAGUACCAAAAUGAGUGGAGCGAGCUGCAUAAACAGUCUGAGGAAAAUGCUGUCCAAGCACAGGUAGUUGAUGAUCUUAUUACAAAGCUGCACACAGAAUGUCAAAAGAGCUGGACAUCAAUGAAUGGUGCUGCAAUGGUGCUUGCAAGUGUGCCGCAGAUAUUGGCUGAUGUUCAGGGCCUCAUGUCACAGCUUGGUACUCUCACAGAAACUUUUGAGGAAGUAGAAACAGGGCUGGCACGUCUUGAGGACAUAGUUGAGGUUCAAGAGCUGCAGGAGCAACAACUUGACCACAGAUUCCAGUUGGCUCUUUACAAGGAGCGACGGCUGGCUGAGCUUGAGGCUGUGCGUGACAAACUGGCAGCUGAGCAUGCACAACGACUUAGGGAUCAUGAGGCAAGACAGCAAGUUGCUCUUCGUGAAAGACAGGAAACAUUUGAACAGGCAUUCAAAGAGGACCUGCAGCAAUACAAAGAGUCAGGAACUUUGCCAGACUAUGAGAUAUGAGCAUCACCCUGAAGACAGUUGUUGUGGCUUCUUGUCACUUGAAUCUAACAUGAUGCAACAGCCCAUUAUCAUUGGUAUACAGUUUCCAUCGCUGAUGAAGGACGUGAUGUUGGUACAUUGUAUGGAACGAUAAGUCCUCCAGGCCAGAAAACUACAUGUUUAGAGGAAGUUAUUCUUGAGCCAGAAGAUCCAUCUGCUCUGGAUUCUUUCCUUGAUGACGAUACUAAAGAGGCUCCAGCAAUUCAGGAUUCUUCCUCGG
Molecule: unclassified non-coding RNA, 1385 nt
Filed under: Schistocerca americana (American grasshopper)
Lineage: Eukaryota; Metazoa; Arthropoda; Insecta; Orthoptera; Acrididae
Description: dysbindin, transcript variant X1
Source: RNAcentral